RNAcentral lists this ribosomal RNA (397 nucleotides) under uncultured bacterium. RNAcentral's name for it is "bacterial SSU rRNA". It matches the Rfam family "Bacterial small subunit ribosomal RNA", at positions 29 to 409 of the family's 1533-position model. The record is from RNAcentral.
AGCGAACGUUAGCGGCAGGCCUAACACAUGCAAGUCGCGCGAGAAUGGGGCUUCGGCUCCUAGUAAAGCGGCGGACGGGUGAGUAACACGUGGAUAAUCUGCCCUUCGGCGGGGGACAACAGUCCGAAAGGAUUGCUAAUACCGCGUAAGUCGGCGAGGUCUUCGGAUCUUGUCGGGAAAGAUGGCCUCUUCAUGAAAGCUAUCACCGAAGGAUGAGUCCGCGUCCCAUCAGCUAGUUGGCGGUGUAAGAGACCACCAAGGCUAAGACGGGUAGCUGGUCUGAGAGGAUGAUCAGCCACACUGGAACUGAGACACGGUCCAGACUCCUACGGGAGGCAGCAGUGGGGAAUAUUGGGCAAUGGGCGCAAGCCUGACCCAGCCAUGCCGCGUGGAGGGA